Molecule: long non-coding RNA, 3078 nt
Filed under: Capsicum annuum
Lineage: Eukaryota; Viridiplantae; Streptophyta; Magnoliopsida; Solanales; Solanaceae
Description: long non-coding RNA (CANN_LNC010640)
Source: RNAcentral
UAUUAUUAUUAUAUACACAUACAUAAUUUACAAAAAAAAAUGGGGGUCCUUAUCCACAAUUUCACAAGAAAAUAAAUACACACACCAUCGAGAAUUUUUGGGGGGCUUCUUCUUCUUCAUUUGGUUUUCCUCUCACAGAUCACAAAAAUACAGGGGAUGGCCAUUUUUUGAACUCUGUUUUCAUUUCCUUUUCUUCUUCACAUAAUCACUAAAUCCCACACAAUCGGAGAGAGAUAUAGUAAGACGAGAGAGAGCAAAAGAGGGAGUCGGGGAAAGGGAACUGCUCCGGCGAGUGUCGCCUGAGAGCAGUAGGAGUCUAGUCCUUUUUUUUAUGGUUUUCAUAGUUGUCCGAGCUCGCCGGAGCUCCAGCGAUGCAAAACUACGACCCCCAGUCCCACUCUGAUUCGAAUCUAAACAAGCAAUCGGAGCGACGUAACUCGAGCGGUCUCAUUCUAUUCUGAUCGAAUCCGGCUGGAGGGUGUCCCAACCGGUUAAAGAACACCGAUCGUCGUCACCUACUCGAUGUGAGUUUAUGUUUUGUUGAAAUUGAUUGAGCUUGGGGUCUAGUUUACACUCAGUCUUAGGCAUAGGAUUUCUGCUUUGGGGUUUUCUGUUGUGGGUUCAUAGCGCUGAUCAUCUCAAUCGUUCCGUUGAGUCCGUAGCGAGUUUCGAUUUGUGAAAUGGAGGUGGAUUCGAGUUCGGUUUGAGGUUUUCUGUCGAGGUUCUCCAUUUGGGUAUUUUGGUCUUCUUUAUUACCAACGACGAUAACAAGUUCUAUUGAGCCUUGCUCGAAAGCGGGUCUGAGUAAAUUGGAGUUCGAAAUCGAAGUUGUUGAUUUGGGUUCGUGAUUGAGGUUCAACGUGGAGGUUCCAUUUGGACGCGGUUCUAUUAAAAAGAUCAAUUAAUUGAAAUAAAACGUCAGAUUGAGGUCCAAUUCUACUCUCUUUCUCUUUUUAUUUAAUUGUUUAUUAUAUUUGGUGGAAAUAUUGUGUGUUGGUUGAUUAUUGUUGAUGACGAAUAGUUGUUGGUUUCGAUUCUUUGUUUGGUUAUAGAUUAUGUAAUGAAAUGAUAUCUCGUUAAGAAUAAAAAAAAAAAAGAAAUUGGGAGGUGGAAUUGAAACUUGCUAAAAAGGUAAAAUUUGGUUGGUUUGAUUCAUGAAUUAUUGUUUGACUUGAAAUGAACGUUAAUCAAACUUGUUAGUAUCAUGAUAAGUCGAGUGAGGUAGGCAAACGUAGGUUGGGUAGGCAAAGUUUAGAAUUUGUGGAUUUGUUGAAUGUUUGAAAUUUUGUUGAAUGGUUUAGUUUUAUCACAUUAAAAAGAUGUAUCCAUUUUAUCGAGGAAUGCCUCAAAGUCACUUGUAUUUACUCACCGGGGAAUGCCCCGAAGAAUUUUGUAUGUGAAGGAUGUUCAUGAUAAAGGCCCGAGGCAUCGGGUAAAGCAUAGUUUAGGUCUAGCGUAGGUUAUUUUUGUAUUUUUAUUUCGGUUUGUAAUAAAUUGGACUGGACGCUAAAUUUUGGAUUGUUUUGUUUUAAUUGCUUGCUUUAUGUGGUUUAUGUAUUUUAUAAUGUCAAAUUAUCCAAUACGCUCCAUCAAGCGACUGUGGUCAAACCACGGGAUCGAGGGGUGCCUAACACCUUCUCCUCGAUCAAUAGAAUUCCUUAGCCGGAAUAUCUAUUUGCGGAUCAAUUUUAGAGUCAAAAAUUGUUUUUGAAAAAGAUUUUUCAAUGGUGACUUGGCACACCAGAUUAUGCCAAGUGGUGACUCUGAGUUUUUAAAUGUAAAAAUAAUCCUUUUGCAGAACAAAUCUUCAUUUUGUCACUUUAAUAAUGAAAAUCCUUUCAAACCUAAAAUACAUAUCUUUUCGGAGUUGAAAAAGGGGUGUGACAUUGGCCACAUUGCUACUAACAAUCUUUUCAUAAGUAACAAUUACGUCCUUCUAAAUCUCAUAAUUAGAACACCAUUAGCAUGUUAUCAACUUAUUAAAUCACACGAUCUUUCAAAAUCAACACUAAUUUGUACACACUUGCUAAGGGACUUAAUUUUUUUCAACUAGUCAUGACCUGCAGGGGACAAUCUAAGUGCAUGUACCAUAUCGGUGCGGUACUCGAUCCUCCAUAAAUAAAUAUUAUCAAUAUUCAUAUUCAUACCGGCGCAGUACCCGAUCCUACAUAAAUAAGUAAUAUCAAUAUUUAUAUUCGUACCGGCGUGGUACCCGAUCCUCCAUAAUAAGUAAUAUCAAUAUUCAUAUUCGUAUCGACGUGGUACCCAAUCCUCCAUAAAUAGGUAAUAUUAAUAUUCAUAUUCAUACCAGCGUGGUACCCGAUCUUUCAUAGAUAAGUUAUAUAAAAAUUUAUAUUUGUACCGGCGUGGUACCCGGUCCUCCAUAAGUAAGUAAUAUUGAUAUUUAUAUCUGUACCGGCGUGGUACUCGAUCCUCCAUAACCAUAUUAUAUAUAUUUUAUCAUAUUCGUACUAUCUCUCAGGACACAUUACAGCGUACUAAAUUUAUACGUGCACUUAAAAUCGUAAGGCAAUUCGAUCAAGUUCUUUCAUUUUAUCAAUAUUUUGAUCCUCUCACGGGCAUUAUUUCAAUAAUUCAUCAUGAUUAUCAAUAAGCCAUUCAUAGCAUUACUUUAAGGAGUUAUCGUUAACAAAUAAGUCACUCAUAGGCACAAUUCAAUAAACCAUCAUUAUUACCAAUUUAGCCUCUCAUGGGCAUCCAAUAGAUAUAGUAUUUUUAUCAAUACCAAAACAAGAAUAUCAUAAAAUAAAUACAAUUUAAUGCUUAAUUAUACAAGUCGCUAUUGGAGCCUUAAUUACUCAUUAAUUAUCAAAAAAAUCAUUACCUUCUUAAAUACCGCAACUUGGGUUCUAACAUCACCACCUAUGACUAGCAUAUUCACGCGUAUCAUUACAUCUUUUCACAUAAUACAAUCAUUACACUAAUUCAAGUCAUCUAUCCCUUAGAUAUUAAUUUAGGGGUGUGCAUCGAUCGGUUUGGUUCGAUUUUAUAUAUUAUCGGUUCGGUUUAUUUAUUUUUAAUUUUUAAAUAUGUUAAACUAAUAACCAAAUCAAUAAG